Acinonyx jubatus (cheetah) is the source of this 2319-nucleotide long non-coding RNA. RefSeq lists it as uncharacterized. The record is from RefSeq and is a predicted model, not a curated record. NCBI's taxonomy places the organism in Eukaryota, Metazoa, Chordata, Mammalia, Carnivora, Felidae. The transcript has 3 exons.
CUUAGCAUAGUGUGGUAUCUUUGCUGAAUAACUAAGAUUCAGUUUAGAGGAAAUAACAGAAUUCAGACUCCCUAAAGCGAGAACAUAGCAAUUUACCGAACAUAUUACAAACCACUAUGUGUCCCAUGAUCCGCUACCCCUUUCAAUAAAUAUUUUCUCCUCUUUAGGGAAUGCUCUGGUCACAGAUCCAUCUUAUACUAGGUGAUUUAAGUGCCAGAGUGGAGAGUUGAAGCUCUUACAUCUUCCUCGGCAGAAUAUAAGUCAGGCAGCUAUAUAUCAAUUGCCCUGGAUUGUUCAGUACAAAAAUUUGGGGUUUGAUCUCUCCUUCAUUACCAGUCCACCUCAAUCUGCCACUGCUUGGAGUUCUCCCAACUUCAGUUUCCUGGCUGUGACCCCUAGAUUCUUCAUUUGCCCCAGGGGCUGCUUCUGUGAAGGGAGAAGUUGUGGAGGGGAAUUUCAGGGUGGCUCUGUAAAGCAAAGAGACAGAGCAUGAGUGGAGGAGGGACAGAGAGAGACAGAGACACAGAAUCCGAAGCAGGUUCCAGGCUCCGAGCUGUCAGCGCAGGGCCUGACGCAGGGCUCCAACUCACGGACUGCGAGAUCAUGACCUGAGCUGAAGUCGGACGCUUAACUGAGCCAGCCAGGCACCCUGGUCACCCAUACUAUUCUUGCAUCUGAAAGUAUCCCCCCAAAGCACAUCCCUUCCUUCUCCAUUGUAGUACAGAGAAAGCAAACCUGAAUAGGCAAAUGUUCAGAAAUAGUGAAACAAAAAAACGGAACACAGGUCUUCUUAUCCCUCUCACCUGAGCACAUAGGAGCUAUAUUCCCUAAUCUUAAAGCAAAUGUAUUUUUGAGCCUCACUAUUCUUAUGUACUGUGUUAAUAUAACAAAUAUGUACUCUUCUCACAAUUAUUUAUAAAGAACAUUUAGUAAUAGAGCUCUGUACAAAUGUAAAAAGAAAAAAAAAAAAAAACAACCCUCCUGCUAGGGUCAGCACAUAUUCCAUCCAGCUCAGGGCUCUGUGUGACUAAAGAACAUGUUGGGAAGAAAAUUCAAAGGUGUGGUAGUUCCUGAGCUUGACCUUGGAAAGCUCAAGUUGCACCCAAUGCACUUUCAUUUUCCCUCAAAACCCAGUAUAAGCUGACCACUUAUGAAUCUACUCAACUCUUAAUAUUGCCCUUCAUUAUGGAUUAAGAGAUCACAUAGUAGAGGCAAACCUCAUCUCUAUUAUCACUUUCAUAAGAAAGAAAACGCCAAGACAGAUGAAUGGCUGGAGGUCUGCACAGAGUGCCAGCAAAAAGUAUUCCUCGCUGACUGUGUCUUGAUAUCACACGAUAUCACACGUUGCAGGGCAACGUGCAUUGCUUGGGCCCGCGCACAAAGUCACACAAAAGAGGGCAGGGAAUAGGAUGAUUAGCCAAAUAAAUGCAUCCUUUACUGGCACCAUCUCAGCUUUAGACAAACUUUUUAUAAUUAAGCCCCUCAAAUGACGAACAGUAAGAACAGAUGGGUUUGUCAUCAUGCCCUAUAGAUCCGGAAACCUGGGCUUUACAGGACUGACAGCAGGAAUUGUUCCAAAAUCAACUGUCCUCCGCUGAGAAUUCCCUGUUAGCUGUCAAAGAAGGCUGGCUCCAUUGAAUUCAGCCCUCAGAGUGCAAAAGGGGAGAAAAGAUGUCUCAGAGACAAAAACCUUCCGCUGCACUCAGAGCCAUUAAAGAAGCCAGCAGCAUCUGGAUCCCAGAUGUUCCAAGUGGGUCUCCCUCUGAGAAGUGGCUGUCCUAGUCUUCCCCGGAGCUCAGAGCAGGUCAAGAGAGAAGGUACCCAUGCAUCCAGCUAGGAAGGUGGAAGGGCCUGCUCCUGGGUGCAGACCAGAGGCAAUGCUUCUUUUUCUAGGCUGGAGCCUUCAGUUCAAGGUUCCUGUGUUUCCAUUCCCUCCCCUUGGGUGAGACUAUUCCUGUCUUAGGGUAGAAUGAAGAUGACAUAGAAGUGAUGGGAAGAGGCAUCUGAUCACGUGGCUUUUAAAGUCCCUGUGGCACACACAGUGCCCAGUACUCCUCAAACCCAGGCCGCUUUGCAGUGAGGCGGGGCCAGAGGGCUGAGUUCUGGCCAAUGGAGUGUGGGCGGAAGUGACGCACUCACUUCCAGGCUUGGCCCACAAAAACGCACCUCAGCUGUGCUCCACAGUUUCCCUCCCCUAUUUACUAAUCAAGCGGACAGGAUCUAGCGGACAGCCCCAAAGUGCUAGUUGAUGGUGGGGCCAAGAGACGGAGGGGGCACCUGUCCUGCCAAGUAGGAAUAGUCACAUCAGAUUUCGCCUGA